UGAACGAAAGCCAAGGUGUGAAUCAUAAAGAAACACAUCCACAUGCUGGUGCCUUUACAGCACUCUGCAGCGAGCGAAGCAGAGCACCCUAGCCAGUGUUCUGCAUGCCGGCGGCGAUGCCCUUCAUGGUGAGGAUGAGCGUGUCCUCCAGCCCCGGCCCGUACUCGCUCGCCGGGUUGAGCUUCACAAUCCCGCGCGGCUGGUUCUCGUCGGCGAACUCCUUGGACAGCGGCGGCUGCGGCGUCACCUUGAAGUUCGGGUCCCUUAUCCUCUUCAGGGUGUAGGCCUGCCACACGUUAAGAAUGGUGAUGUAGGGGUCGCGCAGCCGCAGCUGCUGCUUCAGGCCGGGAUCGCUUUCAAGGAUUUCCUUGUGCCCAGCAACCUGCACAAAGAUGGUGAGUAGUCAGGAUUUCCUUGUGCCCAGCAAUCUGCACAAAGAUGAAAUUCAUUCAUAUGAGUUUUAAUUUAUUACCUGCAGGAUAAGCUUCUCUGUUUCCACGUAGUUGUUCCUGAGCUGCUCCCCGAAUGGCUUGAGUUCGUCGGCGACGAGCAGCUGGUCGUAGAGGCCGGCGAUGGUGGGGUCUCCCUUGGCUAAGACCAUCUCGAGCAGGUCCAGGGUGACCCUGAAGAAUGGCCACUCGUUGUACAUCUCCUUGAGCAUCUGGAAGUUCUUGAUAUCCUUCUUCAUGGCGUGCUUGAACGCGGCGCCGAACCCGAGCCACACCGGGAGGUGGAACCUCGUCUGCGUCCACGAGAAGAUCCACGGGAUCGCGCGGAGCGACUCGAUGCCGCCCUUCGGCUUCCUCUUCGCCGGUCGGCUGCCGAUGUUCAACCUGCCGUACUCCGUCUCCGGGGUAGCCGACCGGAAGUACUCCACGAACCGGGGCUCCCUCAUGACGACGGAGCGGUACUCAUCGGUGGCGACGGCGGCGAUCUCGUCCAUGAGCGCGCGCCACUCGGGCUUGGGGGAGACCGGCGGGUGCAUGCCGUGCUCGAGCGUGGCGGCGGUGAAGCGCUGCAGCGUCCGGAAGCAGAGGUGCUCUUCGCCGAAGGAGGUUUCGAUGACCUCGCCCUGCACCGUCACACGGAGGGACCCGUUGAUGGUGUCCGGCGGCUGGGACAGGAUGGCGAGGUGAGUCGGCCCGCCGCCCCUGCCGACGGUGCCGCCGCGGCCGUGGAACAUGGUCAGCUUCACGCCGUAGCGCUUCGCCACCUUCGCCAUCUCCUCCUGCGCCUUGUACAGGUGCCACGCCGCCGACAGCCGGCCGGCGUCCUUGCCGGAGUCCGAGUAGCCGACCAUCACCUGCUGCUUGCCGCCGAUCCGGUUCAUGUACCAGUCCAGGGAGAAGAGCCGCUCUAUGGACGCCGGCGCCGACUGCAAGUCGGCGAGCUUCUCGAACAGCGGGACCACGGGCAGCGGCUGCUUCACGUGGCACUCACGCUGCAGGAGCUCGACGGCGAGCACGUCGGAGGGCGCCGUCGCCAUGGAGAUGAUGUACGGGCCGAAGCUGUCGCGGGGCAGCUCGGCGAGGACGUGGAAACAUCCGAGCACGUCGGCGAUCUCCUCGGUCUGGGGCAUGUCCUUGCUCAGCAGUGGCCGCUUGCCGCGGAGCUCGGAGAGCAGCCACUCCUGGCGCUUCUCCUCGGACCACUCGCGGUAGGACCCGAUGCCGAGGUGCGUGGUGAUCGCGUCGAUCACGUCUGUGUGACGCUCCGACUCCUGACGGAUGUCCAGCUUCACCAUGGAGAGCCCGAACGUCGAGACCUGCCGCAUGAAGUCGAGCAGGCUCCCGUCGGCGAUGGUCUUGUCACCACAGUCACACAGGGAUUUGUAGCACAGCUCAAGGGGCUCCAGGAACUGACCAAAUUUGAAGGGUUCCACAGUGACAUUAGUUAAACUAUAUUAUGAUAAGGAGCAUGACAUUAACAAAUAACAAUGUUUAUGGAACCCUCAAAAUAACAAGAGGAGCAUGAUGCCGGAUUACCUCUUCAACAUUCUUAAAGGCCGAGUCCUCCGGAAUGUCAGAAAAUCCACUAGUUAGCAGAUGGCGCGAGCGUUCGCGUGUGCUGUACAAUUUGUCCCUCACAUAACCAAGCACCACGCGAUACGGUUCACUUGCAGGAAGUUGCCUCCAGAAUUCUGCACCAACGAAUUCUCUUCAGAAAAUUGGCAAACUGACAAGGCUGAUUCGUGUUAACAUCAUAGAGACUCCUCUUAAAGCCUCCACAUGAAGGCACCUAGGAUUCUAGGUGGGCACUUCAAAAAAAAGAAAAAUACUAGAAAUUUUCAAAAAAGCAAAACAUCUAGCCAUCUAUUCAGUAGACUUAAAUCAUCCAAUUCAUUGAACUAUUAUGUUCCUGCCAUUAUGAAAAUAGUUUAAAGUAACCCCCUAAGUAUAUAUCUAAAUUACCCACGUAUGCCAUUACAUAAAAUAAAUUAAAGUACACCUAAUCUUCGUCUAAAUUACCCACUUAUACCAUUAUUAAGAAUAGUUUAAAAUAACCCACUAAAUUUGUUUCAAAUUUCCCACCACUAACAUUAUAAAAAAAAAUAACUUAAAGUAAAUCCUUAAGUUUACAUCUAAAUUACUCACAUAUUCCAUGUUUAAAAAUAUAUCCCAAGAUACACCAAUAUAUUAUUCUAAUCAUUAAGGUAUAUACGCAUGAUGUGUGUCACCAUUUAUAAAUAUAUAGAGGAAGUGAUAAGAAUACAUAUUUUCAUGUUAAAAAUAUAUCUCAAACUUAGGUUCCAUUAAACAAAUUUAAGAAUGUAUAUACGGUGCAAGUGAAACAAGAUAUUAUAAAUAUAGAUGAAAAUGUUAUAGAGUAAUUACUACUAAAAUCUUUUAUAAUCCGAUGAAGAUAAUAAAUAUUAGAAUAUUAAAAAAUGAGAGUGAGGUCAAGGUAACAGUUUUGAGUGUUUAGCUAUGUGCCUUAUUUUUUUUAAUUGAAGAAUCUGCAUUAAUCCCCAUGAGACGCAAUAGGAAAAAGAUAAAUCCAACAAAUUAUCACAAAAAUUGAAACAUCCACGUAUCAAUCUGGUAGACAAUCUAUCAUUAUGAAAAAUAUUCUAAAGUAAACCCCUUAGUCUAUAUCUAAAUUACCCACAUCUACCAUUAUAAAAAUAAUCUAAGGUAACUCCAUAAUCUUUAUCUAAAUUACCCUUGCAUAUCAUCAUAAAAAAUAAAUUAAAAUACUCUUCUAAAUUUGUAUCUAAGUUACCAGCCUAUGUUGUUAUUAAUAACAACCUAAAGUAAUUAUCUGUGUGGUCAUUAUACAAAAUGUCCAAAAGUAACCCAAUAUAUGAUACUAGACAUUUCUAUCAUUGUUAAUAUAGAAAUACAAAGUUAAUGUAUAUAUGCAUGAUGGGUGUUACCAUGUAGAACAUUUAUACAUGUAUGAGAGAAAGUGAUGAAAACUACAUGAUUUUCAGGUUAAGUACAAUAUAUGGAGUGAGAUGCAAAGUGAAAAAACGUACGAAUAUGAAUGAAAAAGUAUAUAGAGUAAUUACUAAUUAAAAGUUAAUCACAACCCAACAAAGACAAAUGCACAUCUAUAUGAGUAUUGGUGUUAGAAUAUUAAAUAAACGAGAGGGUCAUAGGUAAAAAGUUUGAUUACUUACUAGGGUGUCUAAUUUUUAAAUUACUUCAUAAUACAAUGGCUUCUAAAAUUAUUAAUCCAUGCAAGAGCACGGAUUGAUGGUCCAGUUAUUCAAAUUUGAAUAGACUAGUGGAGACUUUGCAAAAGCUUGUAUGGAAAACUAUUCUAUGAUUAGGUGAUACAAACAAACAUAUCGAUUAAAUAUGUAUAUAUCUUCAAAAAGGACUGCAAAUUGAGGCUAAAAUUAGUUUGUUUGAGUUACCAAUAUAAUGCUUGGAAAUUUUCUGUGAAGCAGCGUGAAGUUCUUCCGCUCGAGCACGGAGUUCGUCGUUGCAGCGCCACAUAGAGAGCUACAGAUAUAUCAGAUGAGACUAGCAACAAUAGGUAAUACUAGAUGAGCAUUAGGAAGCAUGAAUCAAACACAUUUCUACAAUACCUCGAACAUCAAUUCUUCUAUCUGAGAGAAGUACAAGUUUGACGCCAUCAUUCUUGCAAGCAAGCAUACAUCCCUUGUCACCUCUGGCGUAACUCUUGGAUUUCCUACAGAAACCAAACGUAUGGAGACUUGAAGGGGAAAACAAAUGCUAGGAACACUAAAAAUAGUCAUCACUCAUCACUAAUUACUUAGACGCAAUCCGAAUACUUUUUUCUAGAGAAAACUAGAGUAUCACAUCAAGGAAAUUAAAAAGAAUUAAUUGAUAAUCCACUGCCACAAAAAUGUGUUCCGGAAUCAGAAGAUCAUUCGCAUCUGCAAAGGAGGAUUUACCAUCGCGGUCGCCACCCAUCCAAGAAGAGAACUGAAUGAGAGGAGCAUUGUAGGGGAGACGCUCAUCAAUCCCGAUGUUCUUUAGAGCUGUAUCCACACGUCGCAAAAACUUUGGGACACCCUUCCAUAUAGUUUCAUGAAAAUAGCUCAUCCCGUAACGCAUUUCAUCCUGUGGGGUUGGUUGUGCUCUCCGAAUUUCGUCUGUUCUAAAACAUGCUUGGAUCUGCGAAGAGCAAACACCAGGCAUUAGAACGAAUUGAAAUUCCCGAAGCAUUAAAAAACAAGAUCUUCACCCUGCCCUAGUUCAAGUGGACUGGAUCAUGGUGAAAUAAAAUAUGUGAAAGGUAACACUAGUAAUUUAGCAGAUUUCCAGUAAAAGAAUUCAAAAAUCUCUAUUGAAGUACUCAUAUAAUGAAAACCGUAUGGCACAGUGGAAAGAAGACAAUGUAAUAACACGACAGAACCAUAGCCGUAGGAUAAAAUUUUUACUGUUUUUAAAUGGCAGGGUAGUAAUAAUUGUGUAAACAAAAAAAUAGUACUAUUGUGUGUUUCUUAUUUGGACUUGAAGGAAUCAAUAAAAAAAUUGUCAGAAACUUUGAAGAUAUUUUAUACCAAUUGCAGUGAGCUAGUUCCUUUGAGCAAGCACGAGUUCACUUUAAUCUUACUACCAACCUUUGGUACCAAUACUUUUCACCAGCUAAUAGAACGAUUUGAUAUUUGAACAAUCUUACUAUAUAAAUUGGAAGCUCCUUUCAAAGUCGCAAGGUGAAGCCACCUAGGAUACUCUAAAAAAGAGAGAAAUUCUAGAAAUUCUUACAAAAUUAGAUGUUUCUAGCCAUCAAUAUGGUAGACUCUAAUCACAAUUGAUGAUAAUAGCCAUUGGAUCUAUUACAUUUAAAAAAAAACCCACCCAUGCUAUUAUGAAAAGAGUUUAUAACCCUCUAAAUCUACAUAUAAAUUCCUCCAAAUGAGCCAUAUCAUGUGAUGCUUGGUUAUGUAAGAUAAAUUAAUUCCUCCAAAUGAGCCAUAUCAUGUGAUGCUUGGUUAUGUAAGAUAAAUUGUACUACUCAUGCAAACGUUCGCGCCAUCUGCUGACUACUUGAUUUUCUGACAUUCCGGAGGACUCGGCCUUUAGCAAUGUUGCAGAGGUAAUUCGACAUCAUGCUCCUUUGUGAUUUAAGUGUUCCAUAAAUAAAUUUUCUUUGGAAGCUUCUCAUCAUAGUAUGAUCAUCUUACCAUUACUAAUUGAAAGCUCCUUUUGAGGCCUUCACAUGAAGCCACCUAGGAUCCUAGGUGGACACUCUAGAAAAAUACAGAAAUCCUAGAAAUUCUAUCAAAAAAGAAAAACAUCUAGCCAUCAAUUAGGUAGACUGAAAUUAUCAUAGACAUUAAAUCUAUUAUAUUUUCUAAAAAAUUACCCACCCUAACAUUAUAAAAAUGUCUAAAGAAACCCCCUAAAUCUAUAUCUAAAUUACUCACCACUACCAUUUUAUAAAAUAAACUAAAUUACCCCUAAUCUUCAUCUAAAUUAUCCACUUAUGCUAUUAUAAUUUUUUAAAAUAUUUCCAUAAAUUUGUAUUUAAAUUGCCCACCACUAACAAUAUAAAUUAAAAUUAAAAUUAAAGUAACCCCUUAAAUUCACAUCUAUAUUACCCACAUAUCCCAUUAUCGAAAAUAAUAUGAGGUAAACCUAAAUCUAAAUUCAAAUUAUAUCCAUUAAAAUAUAUCCUCAUGGUACACCAAUAUAUGAUUCUAAAUUAUCUAUUUCUUACAUUGUUUAUAUAGAAAAUAAUAAUUAAGCUAUAUACGCACAUGAUGUGUAUCGCUGUUUAUAAAUAUAUACAGGAUGUGUGUCGCCAUUUAAAAUAUAUUUCCAUGUUAAAAAUGUAGAUCAAACUUAGGGUCUAUUAAACAAAUUCAAGCAUAUACCUACAAUGCAAAGUGAAAAAUAAAGAUUAUAAUGUGGAUGAAAGCUUUAUAGAGUAAUCAUUAACUAAAGUCUACCAUAAUCGGAUGAACAUAAUAAGUACAUACCUAUAUAAGUAUUGUAUUAGAAUAUUUAAUAAACUGGAAAGUGCUUAAGGUAACAAUUUUGAUUGUUAGCUAGGUACCCUUAUUCUUUAAUUGGAGACUUCGUAUCAAUUCUCAUGACACGCACUAGCAAAAAAAGAUAAAUCCUACAAAUUCUCACAUAAAAGUGAAACAUUUAGGCAUUAAUCGUGUAGACUCUAAUAAUCAUAGUCAUUGGUCUAUUAUAUUUUCUAAAAAAUUAUCCAACACUAUGAUUAUGAAAAUAUUGUACAAAUUCUCCCUAAACCUAUAUCUAAAUUAUCCAUCUCUACCAUUAUAAAAAAAUAAUCCAAUGUAAUCCCAUAAUCUUCGUCGAAUUAUCCAUUCAUGUUAUUGUGAGAAAUAACUUAAAUAUCUUCUAAAUUUGUAUUUAAAUUAACACAUACGUGGUUAUUAAAAAUAACCUAAAGUAAGUACCUAAAUCUACAGAAAUAUCCAAAAUAAAAAAAUAUGAUUCUAAAUUACCUAUUCUACCAUUAUUAAUAUAGAAAUACUAAGUUAAGGUAUAUAUGCAUGAUGGGUGUCACCACAUGUAGGCGAUUUAUAAUCGUAUCAAUGUAUGGGAGGAAGAGAUGAAAAAUAUUGAUUUUCAUGUUAAACACAAUGUAUGGAAGUGCGAUGCAAAGUGAAAAGAUAUGAAUGUGGAUGAAAAAGUGUAUAGAUUAAUUAACUGGACAAAGAUAAGGACACAUCUAUAUGAAAUUUGUGUUAGAAUAUUAAAUAAAUGAGAGUGUCCUAGCUAAAUAAUUUUGAUUAUUAGAUAGAGGGUCUAGUUUUUAAAUAGUUUUCUAAUACAAUGGCUCUUAAAAAUGUUGACGUACGAAGAAUUUUUGGGCCCACUAACUUACACGUGUCAUGCUGAACGUCAUGGGCUCACAAGUCCACAUAUUGUGUUCUAUACUAUCUUUAUCAGAAGAAGAAUUUAACGACAAAAAGAGAUGGGCAGUCCCUCUUCAGCCUCACAUGCAUGGGAGAAAUGUCAGAAUGGCCUGUCUGGCACCCUGGCAUGGCACUUGUAUGAUGCAACCGAGCAAGAACAAGAGUGAAAAGGAGGGCCUUAAUGGUGAUAACAACACUGCCGUAAUAUCGAUUGCAAUAACAUGAUCGUUUUCUUGGAAUUCAUUAGGUAAACAAAGUCAGAGCCUCAAAUUUGCAGGAAUUAUCUUGAUUCACUAUGCAAAAGUUUUGAUGUUCACUAGUGUUGAAAUGUAAGUACCUCCCUCUGCAGAGCCUCGUCGAGCUCCUGCUUAUCGUCCUCCGUGAUGUCCUUGGCAUACAGCUGCGUGAGGCAGUUCCGGAUCCUGCGUGCAAGGACAAGACGAACAUUUCCGUUCCGUAAUAAUGAAGAAAUGGAUUGGAAUUGUUCACGGAUUUGGAUGCAGAAUAAUGACCCGUGUACCUGGCGUGCUUCUGGAGGAGCGACCUUCGGACGGACUGCGUGGGGUGGGCGGUGAAGACGAGGUCGACGGUCUGGUUCUUGAGCGCGUCGAAGACCUCCUCCUUGGACUUUCCGAGCUCUGUGACGAGGCGCUUGAGCGUCUCCUCGAUGUCAGACUCGGUGGCAGCGAAGCCCUCGUCGGCGAAGUCCCCGCGCUUGAGCUUGUUCCGGCGGAGGUGGGCGAGCUGCACCUCCUCCGCGAGGUUUGUUAGGUUGAGCAUGUUCGAGAAGGAGCUCGCCACGACGAUGGCGUCAUUGGGGGACAGCUUGGUGAGCCUGGACCCGAGCUCGCUCAGCUUCGCGGCGUCGCGGUCGCGCUCGUACUCCGCCGCCACCUCGUAGCACUCCUGGACCUGCAAGCAGAAGCGUGCAGGGGCCUGGUGGUCAGUCGCCGGCCGACCGGGGAGAGGCGGCGAACUGGAUCGAAUUGAAGGACGAUUACGAAUUCACGGAUGUUUGGGCCGUGGAGGUCCUGGAAGAUGUCGAGGAAGCGGUCGAUGAGGAGGGCGUCGUACUCGACGAGCUUGUCGUCCUCGGAGACCUUGCCGGGUGCCAGGAGCCGGAGCUGCGCGUCGAUGGAGUGGUGCUUCUCCACGGGCUUGGACGCCAUGGCGUGGUGGGAAGCGAAGCGAAGCUAGAUGACUGGAGUGGAGCUAGAUGGCUGUGGCGGUGGCACGAGGUCGAGCGAGGCGCGCGGGUGGGUUUAAAUAACGGAUGGGGCUUCUAAAAAAAACAAAAUAACGGAUGGGGAGUCGGCGAGUGUGUGCACGGGAUUGCACGCCUCAUGGCGGAUGGAAAGGGGGCUUUUUUUUUUCAAGCGGAGGGCAUGUGACCGGCGGCGAAUCACGAAUGCAAGGGGAGGGCCGAGGGGCAGCGCUGCGGAGCGAUGUGCUCGUUGCCUGGUUUUCGUCUGGGUUGUGCUGUCGACGUACUUGUCACUGCUCAAUCGCCUUCUUCUUCCUCGAAUCCUUCUCUUGGCUAUAAUUAAUUUGCUUGGUGUGGAGGGACUUGGACUCAAGCAUGUGCUAUAUAGGACAACAUGCAUGAUCAGUGACAUUUGUGGCAACGCCGUGGAGGAUCACAUAUACAUUAUCGCUCUAGGUGUCCGUUUGCGCAACGGUUUAGGCUCAUCACGGAUAUGAUGGAUGCACAGCCAGCCACAUACGCCCUCUCCUGCUGGUUCUGGGAGACGAAACCCACCUGUGACCGAGCCCAUGGCCGAACUACACACACUGCUGCUCAUUUGCCGUUGGCAACUCUGGAAGCACAUGCACGGUGCUGUCUUCCUCUUCCCCUACCCGUCAGCUCCCGCCCGGUGGCUCACUGACUGUGAAAAAGCAAGACGGAAGCGAGGCUCCCGGCCUUGCGACAGGCUUGUUCCCAGGUUUUUUUCAGGGAAAACAUAACGCUUCUCUAUUAUUGCAUAUUAUCUUUCGGACCACACAUCGGCUUCAUACGUGGCAAUUUAAUAGAGACCGGCUUCACAGGACUUAUUUGAUGCGGAAACACUACGAUUGGCGCUGAGGGCACUGAUGCGCUCGUUUUCGUACGGAUUGUGCUGUGGACAUACUUUGUCACUGCUCACUCGCCUUCUUGCUUCCUUGAAUCCUUGUCUUGGCUAUAAUUUGCUUGGUGUGGAGGGACUUGGACUCAAGCAUGUGCUAUAGGACAACAUGGAUGAUCAGUGACAUUUGUGGCAACGCCGUGGAGGAUCACAUAUUCACAUUAUCGCUCCAGGUGUCCAUUUGCGCAACGGUUUAGGCUCAUCACGGAUGGAUGCACAGCCAGCCACAAACCCCCUCUCCUGCUGGUUCUGGGAGACGAAACCCACCUGUGACUGAGCCCAUAGCCGAACUACACACACUGCUGCUCCUUUGCCGUUGGCAACUCUUGAAGCACAUGCACGAUGUUGUCUUCCUCUUCCCCUACCCGUCAGCUCCCGCCCGGUGGCUCACUGACUCUGAAAAGCAAGCUCGCUCCCGGCCUUGCGAUGGGCUUGUUCCCAGUUUAUUUUUAUUUUUAUUUUUGAAAAAACAUGACGCUUCUCUAUUAUUACAUUAUCUUUCGGAUUAUAUAUCGGCUCCAUGUGUGGCUAUUUAAUAGAGACCGUCUUCACAGGACUUUGUUUGUUGCAGCAUUACUACGAUUGGCGCCGAGGGCACUGAUGUGUUCGUUUUCGUCUGGAUUGUGUUGUGGACGUACUUGUCACUGCUCACUUGCCUCCUUCUGCUUCCUCGAAUCCUUAUCUUGGUUAUAAUUUGCUUGGUGUGAAGGGUGUAUCAGACUCAAACAUCUGCUAAAUGACGACAUGCAUGCAUGAUCCGUGACAUCUGUGGCAACGCCGUGGAGGAUCACAUAUUCGCAUUAUCUCUCCAGCUGCCCGUUUGCGCAACGGUUUAGGCUCAUCACGGAUGGAUGCUCGGCCAGCUACCCCCUCUCCUGCCUGUUCUGGGAGACGAAACCACCUGUGACCGAGCCCAUGGCCGAACUACACACAUUGCUGCUCUUUUGCCGUUGGCAACUCUGGAAGCACAUGCAUGAUGUUGUCUUCCGUGCCGCUAGUCCAUGCCUGUCCACCACUCCACCCUGCUUGCAUCGAGCAAAACUGAAGCAAGGCUGUGGCAAUGCUGCUUUGUAAUUCUCCUUCCUCAUCUCUACGUAAAGAGAAUUUAGUAUUUGAAUCCCAAUUUGCACUACUUGGGACUUAAUAUAUGUUAAGCCAAAUAGUACAUACCAGAUACAACUAGGAAAAUGUCCAUUUUACUACCAUCACCAAUCUACUUUAUCUGUCCUCUUAACCCCUAAAUAAAACUUAGGCUCGAUUUAUUCCCCCAAACUACUUUAAAUGGUCCAAUAUACCUCUAAUGAGAUUUGAUCUUUUUUGUUUCUCCACGUACGAAUCGAGUUUUAAGUUCAAAUUCUGCAACGUGACUUAAAUAUGAUGCCCAAUAUUAGAAUAAAUUCAUGAUUACUUUUCAUGCAGUUUUGUAUCCAUAGGAUUAGUUUUGUAUCCAUAGGAUUAGUUUUGUAUUAAUGUUCCAGAUCUAUGAAAAUAACCAUAAAAAAUAAUGUACUUUUCUAACAUAAGACACCAUAUUAUCUAUCCACUAACAAGUUUAUAUGUUUGUAUCUCUCUUCCAAAUUAAAGUCUUGUUAGUGCCUCCCAAAACAUAUCUAGUUAUUUUCCGUUCACAAUUUUUAUUCGUCCAACAUUAUCCUCUCUUAUUCAUUAUUCCAAAAUAAUUAGGUACUGUACUAAAAAUCAGUCUUGUUGUUCGGUAGUACUGCAAUUCACUGCUCACUUGCCUUCUUGCUUCCUCGAAUCCUUGUCUUUUCCUGUUAUCUCUUUUGUCAGUUCACAAGGGCAUUGUUGUCUCUUGUUGAAACUUAAACAUAGUUCUCUUUCAAGGAGAGAUGGCCAAGUUAAUGAAGAACAAUGGUGUAAAAAAAAAGGGCAAGCAAGCAAUUAUAAAACAGAGUGGGCCAAAAAAGUAUAAAAGUAUGUUUUUGCUUUUCUGUGUUUUUGUUUCAUGGGGCCCAAGUAAAGCAAAAAAGCCUACAAAUGCCAACUGCAUCCAUUGUUCGGUCCUGGUCAUGUCUCAUCUCUCUCUCUCUCACUCACUCACUCAUCAAGACUGCUACAUGAAGUCAAUGAGCCCCUUUGAAAUUUUUAAUGGGCCUGCUGAAUUUUUCUUUUUAUUUUUUGUUCAUUUAUUUUCUAUAUAUGUUAUAUUUUUUCUAUUUAUUUUCUUUUAUUUUUUAUUUCCUUUUAUAUUUGUAUAUUAACUUGUUCUACAUAUUUGUUCGUGCAUAAGAAUAAUUUGUUCGCCCAUGUAAAAAAUAUUUGUUCACAUAUGUAUCCAUUUUGUUUACAUAGACUAAUUUUUCCGUGAUCUUAUAAUAUUUAUUUGCAUUGUACACUAAAUCGUUUGAUAGUAAAAAUAUUUUGUUCACGUUGGAUUCUAUUUGUUUGGAUCAUACAAUCGUUUGUUCCUAAUGUUGGGUAUUUUGUUUGUUGUAUACAAUCAUUUGUUGUGCAUAUAAUAAUUUGUUCCUGAUGUUUAAUUUGCUUUAGUUUUUUUACUAACAAAUGCUCACGAUGUUGAAUCUUUUUGGUCGCACUAUACUAUUAUUUAUGCACCAUGUUUAAUAUUUUAUUCACUUAAAAUCAUUUGUUCCUGUUCUUUAAGUAUUUGUUCGAUGUAGUUGAAAUGUUCUAGCUUCAUAAAAAUUGUUUGUAAGAAAAUCCAUUCAAAGAUAAUGAAGCGUGGUCUUAUUUUGAAGGUCCUGUCAUGAAGAACAUAACAGUACCAUCGAAAUUCAAUUCGUAUGUGCCUUGUUUAUUAUUUAUGGCUUUGUUUAAUUAUAAAACUACAUGCAUUCAUUGGGGUCUAGAUAGAGUAAUCUUAUUUGUCUAUGGACUCAUUUCGUAUGAAUGUAUAGCAAUGCAAAGGCAAUCGCAGGUGGUCGUCAGGGUCGCCGACCCCAAUGCAGGACUGCAGCUUCGCCCCAAGCAUGCACCAGAUUUUUCUUCUCUCUGCGCAUGCAUUGUUCCUGUUGAUAAAGCCUGGUGGUCCAAAAAAUAGUAAAUAAUACUGGUGCAUACGCUUUUGUAUGCUUCAUGUGUCAAUUGGCGAUUUUGUCGCCUGAAGCGGUAGAUAACCACACCGUCCCGUCAUCCUCUCCUACUCGCCUCGAUCUCGCGCCCCCGCUAGUGACAACCAUCGCUACUAGAAAGACAUCAAUCCUACGUAAAAAUCUCAAAACCAAUUGUACCCGCAUUAAUCCUAGUCUAAAUUUCGUACUCCUUUAUUUAAAGCUUUUUAGCCCCGGUUAGUGUUACAAACCAGAAUUAAAGGACCCCCAUAGACUUCAGAAGGAAAGCAUCCCACUCUCAAUCGCAUGUGCUGUAUAGGUGAGAUGGUAAGCAAACUACGUGCGAGGCAAGAGGUCGCAGGUUUGAAUCCUAUGCACCGUGCAUGCGCAUAUUUCGCAUGAAAAAUCGCAUGACUUAUGACUUGAUUGAGUUACCUAGGGCUUAAAGGGCGUGCCCCCAGUGGUGCAGUCCUGAACCUCUUAUGCUCUAUGCUCAGCUAUGUGUGCGGAGGACAACUGUUAGCAAAUAAUUCAAAAAUAAGAUCUAACACGAGACACCGAUUUACCGAUUUAACGUAGAAAAAUCCUUAUUGGGAAAAAACCACAGAAGACAAUCACUCUUGUGGAGAAUUUACAAGCAGGGAUGUUACAUAGUUCAUCUAAGAUUUUUUACCCUACGGUCUACAUAGGGUUUAUAUAGGGUGGAACAUAACUCACGUAGGAGUAGGACUCUAUCUCUAAAGUAGGUUUUGUAAUAGACUAGGAAUCAAAUCCACUUGUGUUAGAUCAUAUUUUAACAACCCCAUUUAGCUCUACCUUCCCCUCGCUCUCGCCCACGCUGCAUUGGCCACCGCCUGCCCUGCCUGAAGGCCAGCCGAGCCGAGGCCCAAGCUCCGCCGCCACCCAGCCCUCCACUCGAGCCACGCUUGCAAGCCCUCCACACAACAAGUGUCUGUCGACCAAAGCUCGUGCACCCACCUCACCCGGUCGAUCUCUACCAUCCACCGUCCUAGGGCUCUCCUACCAGUCUACCACCUCCAGUCACUCCGGAGCCGCCUGGAGACCACUCUGACGCCACGCUAAUUGAAGAUGGUCCAAGCACCUUUCAGUGAGAGGACGGUGAAGAAAAUAAAAUGGUAAACCCAUGACAGUUUGGUCCUAUGUGGCAGUGAGCGAACAAAAAGAUGGAGGCCACCCCAAUUGGCCUUUAUUUGGGUGCUACGAAAUAUGGAUUAGUAGGGAAAUAAAUAAAGAUUAAUAAUUUUACAUGUUAGAGCAUGGUUAAUAACAAGGAGGCGACUCAACAGAGAGGGCUCUCCCGAUAAGCAAUCGGCAAGAGCCCCUCCCCUCCCUCCAUCCCAGGCCCCCCGCGGCUCCUUAUUUGUUCGCACUCAAAAGAUAAAAAAAGGGUCUCCCACCUUCUCCACGGCCGCCUUCUCUGAGCGAUAAGCCUCAUGGAGGUGACGCUGCCCUCCCGCCCACACAGAUCCGCCCCACCGCUAGCCUCCACCUUGCUAGCAUCGCCUCCGACACCAACAAGGACCGCGCUGCUCCUCCCCUCUCCCCUUCCACCUCUCCUCCCACACCUCACCAGAUCCUCCCCAACUCCCCCGCCUCCCCAGCCGCUCCUACCGGCUCGGGCGGCGUCAUCGCCGCCGGAUCCACCGCCCAAACGAUCGCCGCUGCCGUUAACCACUGCGGUCCCGAUGCCCCCGCCACCGACCUGGCCCAACCGGCCUCCUCCACCACCGCGACAGCGGCGGCGCCCGCCGUUUUGCCCACACCCUACCACCACCGCUGGUUUGGCAGCCGCUCCCAGCCAUCCCUCUAGGUCCAACGGGCAUGGAGUCCCUCCCCACCCUGAAAUCCCAAACCCGAACCAUAGCCCUGCCAGCCUCCACCACCACCCGCCACCGCCGCCGGCCGCUCCGCCCAACAACCGCUGGAGAUGGAGGAGAUUGCCGGAGGAGGGAUCACCGGUGGUGUUACUUCCUUCCACAUCUUUGUUAUUUCUAUGUUUUUUUUCCCUUUCUUGUCUUCUUGAUCCCAUGGCUUCAUGGGUUCUUCCAAAUCGGGAGGGUUCUCGAGUUAAGCUAAAACGAGAGCCCUCAUGUUUUAGCUUUUGCGUAAUAAUAAAGCCAACAACGGGUUGUGUGUUAUUGCCAAUAUCAUAUACGGUCAACUAAUAGCACAUUCAUAUAGACACAGUUUGGAGGUGCCGGUUCUAUAGCAUGCAAUGCAAGUGGGUGUCCUAGGAAGCUAAUUCCAUUUUCCUGCUGCUAGCUAGGUCGCAUCGAAUCUGUGCUAGCUGUGAUGGGUGGCGGCGGACGGUGAGGGUCGACCGGCCGGCCGGAGCAAAAGGAAAAGGCGGCCGGUGAUGGACGGAUGGAGUGGUACGGUGGUGGCCUAUUCGUCCUGGGUCAGCUCGAUCGCUUUAGUAAAGAUAAAGCUAGAGCCCUACUCUCUAUAGCUGACUGACAACACAUCGCAGCAGUAGCGUCAACUCCUCCCUGAUGCAAUCUCCAUCGUGCUUCAUACGUACUAUACUUGGAAUGCAUAUAUUCUCUUCCGAUGGAACAAUUAAUCGCAUGCUUGCUUUCGGUUGCUCACCGAUCCAUCUGUCGCUCUCAUGCAUCUUUAAUUUCUCUAGCUCCAUCCAUCGAUAACUUUAGUUAUUCUCCAGUCUAUUCCAUUCUCUUCUAUUCAUAGCACGCGCGCAGAAGGCCCAGCCUUCGUCCCGGCAAUACGCGUCGCCAAUACUACAUCGGAACGAACCAGGAUCGGAUCGAUCGAGAGCAGUAACCAGCAAAGGUCUGAUGGAGAUGAGCCGCGCGGCUCUGGACGACGUGAUCCGGCGGCUCCUGGACGCGCGGCGGUGGCGCCCGGCGGGGAAGCAGCAGCAGCAGCUGCUGGCGGAGGGGGAGAUCCGGCAGCUCUGCGCCGGCGCCAAGGCCGUGUUCCUGCGGCAGCCAAACCUCCUGGAGCUGGACGCGCCCAUCAACGUCUGCGGCGACGUGCACGGCCAGUUCCGCGACCUCGUCCGGAUCCUGCAGGAGCUUGGCGGCCUCCCGCCGCGGAGCAAGUACCUGUUCCUGGGCGACUACGUGGACCGCGGCGACCAAAGCCUGGAGACCAUCUGCCUGCUGCUGGCCUACAAGGUCCGGUACCCGGAGCACGUGUUCCUCCUCCGCGGCAACCACGAGUGCGCCUCCAUCAACCGCAUCUACGGCUUCUACGACGAGUGCAAGCGCCGCUACACCGUCCGCCUCUGGCGCACCUUCACCGACUGCUUCAACUGCCUCCCCGCCGCCGCGCUCGUCGACGACCGCAUCCUCUGCGUCCACGGCGGCAUCUCGCCGCACCUCCGCAGCCUCGACCAGAUCCGGGACCUGCCCAGGCCCUGCGACGUCCCAGACGAGGGCCUGCUCUGCGACCUGCUCUGGUCGGACCCGGCCGCCGGCGUCCGGGGCUGGGCGCCGAACGACGACAGGGGCGUCUCAUGCACCUUCGGCGCCGACGUGCUCAAGGCCUUCCUCCGCACCCACGACCUAGACCUCCUCUGCAGGGCGCACCAGGUGGUCGAGGACGGAUACGAGUUCUUCGCAGACCGCCAACUCGUCACCGUCUUCUCCGCGCCAAACUACUGCGGCGAAUUCGACAACGCCGGCGCCAUCAUGUCCAUCGACGCGGACCUCGUAUGCUCCUUCCACAUCAUCAAGCCGGCGGCGGGCGACACAACCACCAACAGGGGCAUCGCCGCCGCCUGGGGCCGCAGCAGCGCCGCCUCAGCGUCGUCGUCCUCGUCUUCCGGCAGAAGCACAAAAAAGGGGUUGAUGCGCUACUGGUAGUUAGCUUUGCCACCUAGGCCACAGAUACCCAGAUCCAUCCAGUGGCCCGCCACAUCGCCUGGGCCACAGCCCACUCUAACAAAAGUUUCUUUUAAUUUGGUCACGGACUUUUCCACAGCAUAGAGACAUCAGACAUGGGCCUCCGAAUUGCUCAAGGCAAAUAGCCAAUAGAUCAUAUCUCAGCCUCCCACCUCUGUCUAUAUGCCAGUAUAACAUAUCUGAUCAUCAUUAUAUUAUAAUAAAAAAGAGACCUAUUCGCAAAAAAGAAAGAGACCAUUCAUGGCUAUUAUUAAACCGCUACCUGUUCUUUGCAAAAUUCUCUAAGUUAUCUACGGAUGUGGUCUACAAAGUACAACAUGCUCCUGUUAUGGUGUCCUGAUCCUCCUUCUAAAACAAGACCCAAAACUGAAUCCACUGCAUGACCCUGAAAAGAAUUCGCAAACAAGAUUGUGUGUAUGCUUAUAAAAAUAAUAUCAUUUUGCUAAGCCAAAUUGAAAUUGCCCAGCAAACCACACUUGCCCCUUGAAGCCAGGACACAAAUAUAUAAAUGAUAUUAUUAUGUUUUUCAAAAGCUUAUUCAUCUAGAAAGGUAUCAUCUUCGAGCUAGUUCCGUGUGCCCUUGACAACCUUUGUUCAGCGACAAGCCCAGUGGGUGGUUCUUCCGAUCCAAGCGGGAGAACCUUUUCUUUUUUGCGAUUGCAAGGACCAGUAUGCACUUUUAUUUUCUACAAUGGCAUUCUUGUAAAUUGUAAUGUGAAAUCAUUUUAUUUUUAUAUAAUGUGAAAUAUAUAAAACCUGAUUUUUUUGGUUGGGGUGAAACGCCCUGCAUGGUGCUUUGAUUUUUUUUUGGUUGAUAUGUUUUGUUUUGUUUUUUUUCUACUCGCAUGCUCAACAUAUUUGUGAAAAUAAUUCAACAUUUAAAAAUACGAACUCAACAAUAAAAUAUUGAAAUAGUAACAAAACAAAAAAUUUAAAAUAACAUAUUGGAUCUCACUUAAUUUCAAAGAAUACCAUGGUUCGAUUUAAAUUUGAAAUGUGUUUAGCAUCUUGUAACAUCCCUAAAUUCGAAAGCAUUUAAAAAUGAGGGUCUUUUAAUUUUUUUCUAAAUAAACUUGAAAUUAAUCUUGUGUUACCCUCAUUAUUCAAAACUCUUUAGAAUAUAUUCAUCUAUGAAUAAAUACUACAUGAUUGUGCAUUUGAGUGCUUUAGGAUUUAGAAAGAAUUCAAAGCUCAUGACCCUUCCUCAAGUUUGAACCUAGCUCAAAUUUGAAUUCAAAUUCUAUCAAAAACCCCUUUCAAGCAAAUAUCAAACAUCACUAUUCUAAACUAGGCCGACAAACUCCUUUUCAGCCCAACCAACCUUUCCAGCCCAGUCCGCUUUCACCUUUCUCCUCCCUUUCCGCAUGGUCCAAACAGGCCGCUAAGCCUGCCAGCCUCGCGGCCCACCUAUCUGGUCCAGCCAGCCCGACCCAUGACGCCGCGUCGUCAUCCUCUUCCUCUCCCCUUUUUCCACCUCGGGCCGCCUGUGCAUCCCCCUUUUCUCUCAACGCUGCGGCCCCGAUGCGUUUCUCCCGACCACCCCUUCCCUCAUCCCACGCGUGCUGCAUUGCCACGGGCACACCUCGCCCACACCCCAUGUUAGAGCAUCCCCUCCUCCUCUCACAACCCCACCCAGCCACCCUCGCACGUGUGACGCCUUGGCCUUGCCACAGCGACCGCCAAGCUGAUCCCCUCACCCCGGUCAUCUCCUGCCACUCUGAGGAGCACCCUGCACCCGCCUCUAACCACCGCACCACCACGUGCUCUCGCCCUUACUUGGAAUCCCUUCCCCUUGCUCCUCUGCGCACACACCAGAGUGCCAUACCCAUGCACAGAGCACCACCGCCAUUGAUGGAUAGCGAGCUUACCCACCAGCACGCACCAGAGUGCCAUACCCGUGCAUAGAGCACCGCCGCUCACCCCGACCCUAUCCGCCGGCCCGAGCCACACCACCAGGUCACCACAGGGCUAUAAAUAGCCCCCUCCCAACACCCCUCCAGCACACACCAUCACCUCCUCUCCCUCUCGUUGGAACUAGGAAACCGGGUUGAAGUCGAGCGCGAUGUGAGCCCAUAGCCACCCUCAUAGCGCCGCUCAGACAGCUGCUCCACGCAGGCCCAUCGCCGCCGCCUACCCCUACUGCCGCCGCUUGCCGUCAACACCCUCUGGGCCGAAACCCUAUCUCCGGUGAGCUCUGACAUCACCCCUGUGCUAUUCCUCCCCCCUCUCAGUCCUCCCCCGCCUUUGAAACCCGCGCGCUCCACUCAUUGGAGUGCCGCCAUCUCGUCCUCACUCCGCCGCUCAUCGCCGGUGAGCCUCUAUCACAAACAACAACCCACACGCACUCACAUGGCACCCCUAGGCCCACCCCGAGCAUCAAAACCCCAGGCCAAGGCCCCUACACAAAAUGCCCAAAACACCCGACCCGUCGCCGCCACUCCGGCGAGCUCCGUUGGUCACCACUGCCCCGUUUUCACCCUAAGAUCUACCCCAUCCGCUUCGUCGUGAUCACCCGAGCUCAAAACCCUAGCCUUUGCCCCAAACCCCAGCCUAUAGUCGCCGGCAUGGGGAGCUCCGGUGAGCUCCCUUGCUCCGCCGUCGUGCUCCAACGCUCAACCCGAGCAGUGCGUGCGCGUGGGUCCCACAUGGAACUCAUGUGGCGCCCAUGAUGGCGCUAGCCCCGCGCGUCAACCGCAUAGGCCCACAGCCCCGUCAGGCUCUCAAACUCCUCGUGUGCUCGGUCCAGUGAACCGCUCUCACACCCGCAUCCCGGUCCACGCGUCCACGCGCCCAACCCACAGAACAACACCAUGCGCGCAGUCCAUGCUGAACCCGCUGACCUAGCCCCACCCGUCAGCCUCAUAGCCAAGCUAAAAAUGCUAGGUACACCCUAGCUAAAUGCACACAAAACAUUAUUUUGCCCAUUUCUUUUACCCGAAAAUCCCACCAAAAUUCUCAAAAAUACUAGAUAGAUUUUCAAACCUAUAAGAACCAUCUAAUCUUCUUUUGCACAUUAUUAAAGUCCUAAACCAAAUAAAACUAUUAUCACCCAAUAGAAAAGCUCCAUAAAGUGUACCCCAAAUUCCCUCUUUUACAUUUCUUAGCUCCAAAAAUACCCAGUAAAUUCCUAAACAUAUCGAUGAGUUCACAUCUUGAAACUUAUAUCAUGAACUCCCAAAACCAAAGGGCCACCCAAAUAAACCUAUAGAAAUCCUAUUGUUUUCAUAUUAGAAAUCAUGCCAAAUUUCCAAAUAAUUCCUAGAAGCCUAGAAAAUCCUUAGCUCAUACCGGGAACCCCUUAGCAUGGAAACCACUAUUAAGUCAUCCCCUAACCCUAGAACUCACAUCAAGAAACCCACAUGAAAUAUAAGAAAUCACAAGGAACUUAGGAAAGCCAUCAUAAAUCCCUUUGAGCUUUGGAUUACUAUUGUUUGGCGAUUGAUUGCAUGCUUAUCUCUUUGAUUAUUUAGUGCCUUAAGAUCUCUCUCCGAGAAGCUUGUGUUCUACCUCGGAGUUAGAUUUUCGUCGUAAAGACUCAAAGGCUCCGCUCAACAAGCCAGACAAUUCUUAAUAGCAACCCCUUGAUCAUGCUUUUAUCUUAUAUUUUUUAAUACUAAAAUUAACCUAAAUAAUAAUAUGAUAUUGCAUAGUUUCAUAACCCCUUAAAAUAUAAGGUUAGGCAUGUCCCAAGAAGCAAGCCUCCAUUUCUCCCCUCCUUGCUGAAAACCCUAAGAAAAGCCUUGUACCCAAGGCUUAUUAGACUUCACAUUUUCUGUUUCCAACUUUACCCUUCCAAGGAUACACAAAUGGUGUGAAUUUAGGUAAAGAAAACAACUAUAAAACUUGACUAGUAACCAGCUAAGGAGGAAUGCGAGGUAAGUUGGGUAGCCUCGCAGGGAGCUCCUAUCCAACAUUAUCUCAGUCAUAUAAGGACUGGUUCAUUGAGCAAGUCUUUCCAGCCUAUAUGUGCAACCAUACGAGCCAAAAAGGUACAGCCUUCGGGAGUACCUAUUUAUGUGAGGACUUGAUUCACCUCACUACAGAGUCUAGUAAACCAUCCCAAGGGGCCGUGGUGGGCAACGGAUGGACUGGAGCAGGACCUUCGUAUAGUCCUAGGUCUGGCCGGCAUAGGUCAUUGUUUGAGGUUUGGAGGACCUGUUUUUAUAUCAUGAUAUAUGCAUCUUUUCCUAGGUUUGUCCUUGAGUGGACGUUGAAUGGCCCCUGCUUAGGCCCUAGUGGACGUACUCAUGCUUCUUGUUUUUUGACCAGGAAACACCCACUAUGGGAGAAAUAGAUAUCCAUUCUUGGACAAUAAGCUCGGAUGAAAUAGGACCAGGUCCAAUGGCCACAUUUCAUGGGGGCUCUUUAAUAUCGGGUAUUUCACCAAAUACUAAAGAUGGAGACAAUUAGUCUCGUUUUCGUAGUAUCAGCUAGAAAACCGGUAGGACAGGUGUGGGGGCCUUACUCUGAAGGUCCCGCAGAUCACAUGUAUUAGUUCCUGGAUCAGUAGGCUAAUAUAGUUAUCAUCAAAGUUCAAUAUUAUAAGCAAUAAAAGGUGCUUAAAUUAAUAAUCAAUCAAUUCACCUUAACACAGCGAAGGGAAGCGUAGGUGCCCAUCCACUAACAAGAUGGUUAACAACACCCGAAGGUCUAAACCUGCAUAAAGAAAGCAAGGCUAAGUAUGCUUAUGGUUGGUACUCAGCAAAUUCUAGCUAAAAUAUAUUAAAUGCAGGGGAGAUCAAGGAAAGGGUAUGAGGUUUGAUUUUAAUAAUAAACCUAUUUUAUGCAAGAUGAGGUGAGUUUUGGAAAAAAGGAGAAAGAAGUAAGCAUAUUUUAAGUUGUUGGCCUUGGAGGGGGAAUCUUACCUCCCCAACCGUCUUGGGGGCAGCUUCGUACAUCUUGCAGAACAUUGUACGAUUCAUCAGGUCAGAACAAAAGUACAUGAUGAUGUCGCGGUUCUCAACACCGUCCAGCCCGUUGCGGUUCUUGAAAAAGCAGUUGGCGUACUCCUGGAUGGUUUCUCCUAUCCUCUAGCAGACUUGGCUGAGUCUCUCUAUGUUGCCAGGUCUAUUGUAAGUAGCUUGGUAGUUUUGGGUGAAUGCUCUAGCGAGCUGACCCCAGCUGUCGAUGAUGUUUGGUGGGAGAUUAUCCAGCCACACGAGCGGAGCGGGACCCAUCACGACCAGGAAGUACGCGACCACCUGGUCGUAGGUGCCGUUGGAGGCUUUCACCGUGGUACUGUACGUCUUGAGCCAGAUGGUGGGGUCGGAGUGACCAUCAUACUUUUCAUUGAUGGCUAGCUUGAAUGAGGCCAUCCAGUCAACAACCCUGAGGCAUAGAGUGAAGGUGGCGAAGUCAUCGAUCGCCGUGUCAUCAUCAUAGUCAUCGUCGAGGUAGUACUCGACAAGACGAGCCCUGGGGCAUCCACUGUAGUCAUGCCUAGGUGGGUUGUAAGCAUCUUCAGGGGCGCCUUACAUGUAGUUGUAGUCGGCGUGGGAGCGCAUCUCAUCCUCUUGGCGACGGUGGUCCUCGUGCUCAGCAUUGCGGUUGGGCACUGGAGCGCCACAGUCACGGUCGUACUCUUCAUGCUCGUGGUGGCAAUUGUUGAGGUUUCGGUGGAUGUCGUGGUGCUAACAGAGGUCGCGCAACUCAUCACGGAGAUCAUGUUGCUGUCCUAGUUGACUGCGGUCCUCAUCAUCACCUCUCCCACUGCAGCGGCGGUUGUCAUUGUUGUCGGGUUGACGACCGUUGUUGGCAUUACCAUUGAUAGAAGGGUUGGUGUUGCUAUUGGCAGGUGGAUUGGUGUUGUUGUUGGUGUGUGGGUUGGCGUUCUGAUCCACCACUUCUUCACGGAUUGGCUCCAUCCAACCUCCCGCACGAUCGCCUCGCCGGUGGUCGGACUUGCUAUGCCUGGAUCGGCUCCGAGCGUGCCGAGUAGCUGUGGAUCGAGAGUGUGCGGGUUGGUUGAUCUGCUCCUCGAUCUAGGCGUUGGUGACUUGGAGUCGCGCCUGGAUUCAUCAGAUUUGGUACGAAUUUGGAAGAUUUUCCAAGUCAGCGAAGGCAGCCCUAGGUUUGCUUGGGGUGUGGCAAAGAUGUUGUGGCCAGCCUGCUUGAUGUCGGCUAGUAGAUUGCGGGAUCAUAUGGGGCACCUACAUCUAUCCCGAGCACCGCCUUAGUCAGCAUUGUCAUGGUCGUUGCGCGGCUGUUGGCGCUGAAUGCCUGCUUCAUCUGCGUUGAUAGUAGGUUGCUACUGGGUGUUGGCUUGUUCCCGUUGGUAUCGUGCUGCUCGGUUCUGGUUCCUAGCGUUACGACCCUGUUCCUGAGAUUCUAUCUCGCCAUCUCAGGGUGGCUCAUCAGCGGAGACCAUGAAAGCUUCUCGAUCAGGCGUGGAGGAUUUGCUCUCAUCAUCGUUGUCAUAGGGAUUUGGCGUCAAGACCAUGCAAGGCACCUAGAAUUCACCACAGUCAGAAAACUGGGCAGGUUCGGGUAGGUCUCCUGAUUGGAUCUGGAAAGCUUGGUCGAGCUUGGCUGAGUACUCAAUAGUCGAGUUCCACAGACUGAAGGGGACGCGGGACAGACCCUGCGCGGACCUUGUUGAACACAGCACCACCUUAGACAAGUUUAUGCACUUAGCAAUAGUGCUGCUGAUGCGAUCUAGCCCCAUGAUCAGGUCGAAGGGCAUGGGUGGGCGGGCAACAGAGAGUAGAUGUGGAACUUUCUUGAAGAGAGAGAGAGAGAGAGUUCGCUGACUUGUUGUGCAAGUGGCGUGACAAUCCUUGGGUGAAGAACUUGUCCCACCGGAGCAGAUCCGACGGAAGCUGAGCUGGUGUUGGAUGCCGAGUUGGCAGAAGAUGCUGAGUCGGCGUAAGAAGCAGUCACAUCAGAAUCCGCCGCCAUGGUCCCAAAACGAAUCAAGAUUGGGUUGGCGAGGAAAUCCUUCGUCCUCUCUGGGAAAACAACAACAGGACGGGAUGCCAUCAAGGUCGCCAAGAGGAUCUCGCAACCUUCCCUACCUUGUGCGCCAAAUGUCGAAUUUAUAAGCCUAGCAGUCCACCAGGGGGUUACCCAAGUGGUUGAUUUGUAGGUGAGGGCGAUUGCGAAACCAAGAACUCGAAGGUGAUCAUGAGAACAUGAAGGGACACACGGGUUUUAGAUAGGUCCAGGCCUCCGGAGAGUAAUACCCUACGUCCUGUAUUUUGGUUCUUUAUAUUGCUGAUCUGAGAUUGGAUGUACACCCAGGGGGUGCCCUUGGCUGCCUUAUAUAGGCUGACGACCAAGAAUUACAAGUCAGUUUGAAUCUAAUUUACUCAGUAGUUACAUGGAAAGUAAUCUCAAUCGGACUACAAAACGCGUUCCAUAACGUGCACUCCAAGUAACUUCAUGUCCUCGGCCUGCUCACCCUGAUUGAGCGGGCUCACUUAUCAGGUCCAGCCAAUAUCCUGGUCGGUAGGGACCCAUGGGGUACCCAUAUCCCUCACCAAAGGUUGUAAGUAGUCGUGGCUGCAUCCCCUGAGUACUUAUUUUGUUAAUGUUUGAGUGUAUGAAUCUUGUCUAUCUGUGCAGGAAGAUGUGCAUUUGUACUGCUCUGCUCCUCCUCCCGGAUCAGAAGACAUUUGUGAAGUUGAGGACGAAGAAGAAGUAGUCGAGGCCUCCAGCAGCUCUGAUUCUAAUGCUGCGGAGGGCUUUGAAAUCAAGGCCUGGCCAUCUGAUAAGGCCAGAUUGUCCUCUGCAUUAUCGAAGCGUGCUGCUGAAGACGAUCUGGAGGUUGCACUUCCUCCGCUGCCAAGGAAGAAGCAGUCCGUCGCUGCGAAGCAGGUCGUGAGGAAGCCUGUUACUACGGAAGACAUACCCCAAUGGUAAUAACUUAUGAGGAAUAGCAAGAUCCUGAGGAUCGAGUACUCUCAGUAAGUAAAUCCAAUACCACCAUGUCUACUCAAUAUGGUAUUGGUGAUUUGCAGGUAGUCGGGGAGGUGACUGAGGUAGAGAAGAUGACUGCUGAUUUCGCGCAACACAGACUGCCGAUCAUCGAGGAGGUGAUCGAGAUCGAAGACGAUUCAGAACCUCCUAUCUUUGAGGUGGACCUUGUUGACAUGAGAGGUACUCGAAGAACAGAGGUGGUGACAAAGGCUGGCGAUGAUCGAGCUGCGAUCCUGCAAGCCGCACCAAAGAAGCUGUCUCUGAUGAUUAAGCCCCUCGACCUGACAGGGGAACCAUCCUUGAAUCUGAGGAGAUCUUCAAGGUAUGCAUUUGCUCCUUAUGAGUACUAAGGGCGUGAUUGGUUGCUCCGGGUGUAGGGAGCCGGUAUGGAGGACCGGUCCAGGCUCACGGGAGAUAGGUUGAAAUUGUGCACCGAGUUGUGUUUGGUUGUCUUUGUUGUUGGUCCGGUAUGAGACGGAAUCAUGUUUGGUUGCAUACAUGGAUAAGAGUUUUGGGUGUAUGUCACAUGGGUCCUGCGCGCUCACCUGCACCGUGCCAUCCCGGCUCGCGAGGGAAGGUAGUUUUUGGGCGGAUGGAGGGAUGCGGGAUGGGAGGGGUGGAGUGAACGAGAGGGUGCAGCCAUAUGAUGCGGGAAGAGCAACCAAUCACGUCCAAGUGCACGAGAUGAUGCUGGAUGGUCCUCCGGACGCCACCAUCCCGCCUACCAAUCACGCCCUAAUUGUAGCUCAUGAAUGACUUGUUUUAUAUCUCUGAAACUUAUCCGUAUGCAAGAAAUCCUCUGACGUGAAACUUGGAGGGCCUAGCCUGAAGUCGGCGACUGAUAGCAGUAGCCACUUAGUCCAAGAUGUUAAUCCGACACUAGCAAGUCCGCAGCCAGAAGAACACUCGACAACGACAAGCCAUCCAGGUGCCAUAUCUCUCAUAGCAGUGUUGAUGCAGGAUGUGAUAUAUUCGUUGACUGACACUGUAGGGCUAGCCCCCAAGCAACAAGUGCUUGAAGAUGUGGAGGCAACUACCUCUAGCACCAUGGUUACUUUCGUAGCCCCAGAGCCAGAGGUGGAAACUGAAGCAGUGGAAGUGUUGAGGGUCAUGGCUGCCGGCCCAUCUUGCGAGCCGGGUCCAUCGACAAGUCGUGCUGUUGUUCCACUCAGCCCAGUGGACUCUGAAGCUCAUGCGGAUCCAUUGGUAGCUGGGGAGAUCAAUCUUGAAGACAUCCAGUUGAUUGAUGAUCCAUUGCUGGACGCAGAAAUGGUGGCUAGAAUGAUGGAGAUGCACCGUCGCAUCGGAGCUUAUGCAGAGGUAAGCUUUAUCCUGCUUCUUCCAUAACUAGUAAUUAGUAUCCUUUAGCCUGACAUAAGUACUUAUUCUGUGAUGCAGGAUGUCAUUAGCGCUCCCAGCGGAAGUCCCAGAUGCUGCAAGGCUAUGGGGACUCAGUACUCCAUGCUGAGGCCCUUGCAAAGGAACUGGCGAAAGAGAGGGAGUACUCCUCCAGACUGCUUAUGAAGUACGACGGAUAAGCCGCUGAGUACCGGGAUCGUGUCCAGCAGCUGGAGGAGGAAAAGGACCGUCUCAAAGGUUGCAACAAGUUGUUGAACCAGUAGAUGAAAGGUAAUUGAUCUUCUUCCUUGGUCUGCGAGUACCGAUUUUGCAAACUUGUAAUAUUGAUCCUCUCAUGUAUUUAUUUGUGCAGUGCUCGAGAAAUCAAAAGAAGAUCUCCAAGGCCAAGUCAUCGACUGGAAGAACUCCUACUACCGGGUGAUGGACCAGCAUGAUAAGCUGACUGCAUUAUACGAGAACCUGAAUCAUCACGUGAAGAAGGAGAAGAAGAUGUGUGAAGAUGGUAAGGUCAACUUGGUCAAUGCCAUGAAGACCCUACAGGAUUGUGAAGCCGAGUUGGAAGCUGCAAGACUUGCUUUGAAGAAAAUUUCUGAAGCAGCCCAGCCGAUGGUGGACAUGGUGGAGCCCCCAGUUGAGGGUGUAGAGCCCCGCCCUCUAUCUGAGAUACUCAAGGACGUGCCAGCAAAAUUCACCGGCUAUAUUCAGAAGACGGCGAAGGCUGUCUCCAAGCAGCUGCUGAGCUUCGUCAAGUCCUUCUAUCCUUCAGCUGAUCUGACGCCUAUGGCGGAUGGUAUAGUAAAUGAUUGUUUGGAUGAGCUCUUCGAGAAGUACCUGCAAGAUAUGAACCCCAUCGCUGAAGAAGUAGCAAAUCAUUUAGAUCUUGAGUAGCCUUGUACAAAAAGCAAACAUUAGUUCCUGUACUGUAAACAUGAUAUGGAUGUUCUGAAAUGUAAAAAAUUCUGUGUUUUGUUGCAAUUUUUAUUGUUUUUGACUUGUGUGCGUUUUAGUGCCUCUUACGAUCUACCCUGAUAAUUACCCGUAUGGUAGAUGUAAGUGUCUGCGUACAAGGCUUGUUUGAUGAGCCUCUUCAGAAACACUAUGUAGAGUACCUAGGAUGCGACUCCUUUCUGCAGAGUACUAGUACUCAAGGUAUUUGGGUAGUUAGACCUCUGAGGCGAGUAGUCUCUUCAGGAUUUCUUCGACUAGAGCCUAUCUCGACAACCUCUCUAGGUUGUAUUGAUGUUGCACUCCUAGAAACCCUGGAACUACAAACUUGUUGUCACAAGCCGCAACUAGGCAGACUUGUCUAGCAGACAGUAAUUUAGGUAGUUUAGUUAACUUCUAAAUUGCUGAUGACUUCUUUUCUGCAAGCCGCUAAGGGAAAGAUUUGUCCAACGAGUUGACUAACUCAUGAAUUUUACUGCGGACUUGUCUUUGCAAGCCAAUUUUGGACAAUUUUACCGCCGACUAACUCGAAAAUUUUUGCAGACUUGUCAUUGCAAGUCGUAUUUGGGCGGUUUUGCACUAGGGAGCUGGAUAGCUCUGUGAACUUGCUUCUGCAAGUUGCAAUUUAGGUAGCAAUAAGUACUCGUAUUACAAAAAAAAUAUAACUGCUUUAUUGAAUUGUAAUUCUACAAUUAAGGUCGAUGGCUGGUGUACAUGAAUAUGUAGACUAGGGAUAAAAUCAACAGAGUUUCUCAAUUUUCCACGAGUUCUCGAUGUCUUCAUCAGAGAGGUGUUGGAGCCUAUACGACCCAAGUCCAGUGACCUUGGAGAUGAUGAACGGACCCUCCCAUGGUGAGUUUAGCUUGUGCAGCCCCGUGGUGUCUUGGAUACACUUAAGGACCAUAUCGCCUAUAUUGAACGAACGUUCUUUGACGUUGUGAUCAUGAUAGCAGCAGAUCCCUUCAAGGUACCUUGCGGACUGGACGAGUGAUGCACAACGAGCUUCUUCAAGGCUGUCUAAGUCUAUAUACCUUGUUUCUUCUGCUACAGCCUCCUCGUACCGCUCGACUGUUGGAGAUUUCCACAUGACGUCUGCAGGAAAGAUAAAUUCGGAUCCAUAGAAUAGGAAGUAGGGCGAUUGCCCUGUAGGCUUGCAUGGCUGGGUACGGAGCCCCCAGAGGACAUUGGGUAGUUCUUUGAGCCACCUGCCCCCAUUCAUGUUUCCAAUAUCGUGCAACCUUUUCUUGAGGACCUCUAGUACCAUCCCAUUGGCGCACUUAACCUGGCCAUUGGCCUGCGGAUGAGUGAUAGAGACGUACCGGAUGGCAAUCCCGCUGUUCUUACAAUAUUCACAGAACUCUUGAUUGUUCAAAUUGGAGUCCAGGUCUGUGACAAUGCGAUUGGGGAAGCCGUAGCGGUGGACGAUUUCAUCGAGGAAGUUGAGUACACUGUCUGCCUUGGGGCAGGUUACUGGCUUCACCUCGAUCCACUUGGUAAACUUGUCAAUUGCCACCAGUAUUCGGUUGAAUUCUCCCGGCUCCAUGGGUAGUGAGUUAAUCAUGUCGAGCCCCCUGCAAGCUAAGGGCUAAGAGGAUGGUAUGGUGAUCAACUUGUAGGCAGGGACAUGCUGUUGUUUGGUGAAGAAUUGGCAUUCUUGGCAUCGGAGGACUAGUUCCUUGGCGUCAGCGAGAGUUGUAGACCAAUAGAACCCUACUCUGAAAGCUUUCCCCAUGAUCUUUCAUGAGGAUGUGUGGUUUCCACAAAUGCCUUUGUGAAUUUCCUCCAGUAUGUCCUUGCCAUCUUGUCAUGAGAUGCACUUCAUGAGUACUGCUGAUGAUGCGCCUCAUCUGUGAAGCUUGUCUCCAACUAGAACGUAGUUCAUCGUGAGACUUGCUCGGCCUCUGUUUUAUCUUGAGGCAACUUGUGCUCUUUGAUGUAGUCGAUGAAAGGAGCUCUCCAGUCUACGUUGGUCAUCAUAACCUUUCGAUCUUGUGCGACAUAACCUCGAACGGUUGUUGUCGAUGGUGUCGGCUCUGCUAUGGAUGGCUUGUGCAGCUCAUGGAUGAAAACCCCAGCGGGAACUUCAGCACUAGUAGAUCCAAUCUUGGAUGGGACAUCUGCGGCAACAUUGUUAUCGCGAGCUACGUGGUGGAACUCCAGAUAGAAUAAUUUGUUCUCUAGCUUGCGUACUUCCAAGCAGUACGCAUCCAUGUUCUCCUUGUGGUGGUCCCACUCAUCGUUGGCUUGAUUGAUUACUACCAAUGUGUCGCCGUAGACCAAAAAUUGCUUGAUUCCUAGCAAGAUUGUCAAGCGGAGCCUGUGCAGAAAAGCUUCAUAUUCAGCUUCGUUAUUGGAUACUUCCCAGAAGAUUUGCAAGAUGUAUUUGAGUUGUUCGCCUUUGUGAGAUAUCAAGAGUAGUCCUGCGCCGGCGCCCUCGAGCUUGAGUGAUCCAUUGAAAUACAUGACCCAAUGCUCUGAAUGCUCUACUGGCGUUGGCAGUUGAUUCUCCCGCCACUUUGCCAUGAAAUCGACUUGAACUCCAAUGAUAAUGCUCCGAUUUCUAUCGCCCAUUUAGAUAUUCUACUCGUUGCAUCUCGAUUGUGAAGAAUUUCUCUCGGAGGAAAUUGGUGAUGAUGGAGAUGCUGUGCUCCUCGAAGUAGUGUCGUAGCUUCCGCGAGGUGAGUUGUAUUGCGUAAACUAAUUUCUGAACUAGUAGGUAUCUAGCCUUUGAAUCUGACAACACCUUGCUGAUGAAGUAGACGGGCCUCUGUACUUUGUAUACAUGGCCUGGUUAUGGUCUUUCAACCACAAUCGCCGUACUGAUGACAUGAGUAGUCGCAGUGAUGUAAAGCAGCAAAUCUUCGUUGGGGUUUGGCACUGUGAGGACUGGUGGCUUUGAUAGGAAGUCCUUUAAUUGUUAGGGCUUGAUCUGCCUCCUCGAUCCACUAGAAUUUAUCUUGCUGCUUGAGUAGUUUGAAGAAGGGUAGGCCCCAUCUCCAAGCCUUGAGAUGAGUCUGUUGAGAGCCGCCAUGCAUCCAGUUAGCUUCUGGAUGUCCUUUAUGCACGAUGGGGCAUGCAUGUUGGUGAUGGCGGAGAUCUUCUCGUGCUUAGUUUCAAUUCCUUGGUGACUAAUGAUGAAUCUAAGUAGUUUCCUGGAGGGUACGCCAAAAAUGCACUUUGUUGGGUUUAGUUUCCACCGGAAUUCUCGCAAGCUUGCGAAGGUUUCUUCCAGAUCCGCAAUCAGGUUGUUAGGAUUUCUGGUCUUUACGACCACGUCGUCCACGUAUGCCUCUAUGUUGUGGUGUAGUUGCUUCUCGAAGCACACCUAGAUUGCCCAUUGAUAAAUAGCGCUUGUGUUCAUCAACACGAAGGACAUUGUUGUGUAGCAGAAACUCCAUAUCGGGUGAUGAACACAGUUUUGAUUUGGUUUUCUUCCUGAGAGCUAUCUAGUGAUACCCUGAGUAGCAAUCAAGGAAGCAGAGUAAGGCACACCCAGCUGUGGAGUCGAUGACUUGAUCAGUCCUAGGGAGCCAGAAGGGAUCCUUUAGACAGUGCUUGUCAAGGUCUGUGUAGUCGACACACAUCCUCCACUCGUUGUUAUUUUUCGCACUAGGACAAGACUAGCAAGCCACUCUAGAUGAUAGAUUUCUUUUAUGAAGCCCACCGCUCAUAGUUUGACUAAUUCUUUCUUGAUUGCUUCUCUUCUGUCUUGGGCGAAUCAUCGUAGGUGUUGCCUUUUUGGUGUAGCUUUUGGAUCCACGUUAGCGAGUGCUACUCCCUGGGCACCCCCAGCAUAUUCACUGGUUUCCACGCGAAGAUGUCUCGGUUGGCCCGGAGGAACCUGAUGAGUGCGUUUUCCUAUUAAGGAUCUAGCUCUGAGCCAAUCAGGGCUGUCUUGGAGCUAUCACCAGUCUCAAGGUCAAUGGGUUUGAUGUCUACUUCACUUGCUGGCUUGACCUUGGUUCCCCCUAACUUCUUUUCUAGGAUCUCGAGUUCUGAUGGGGACAGUUUCUUGGAUGCGGCGAAGACUUGCAUCAUCGAAUGUGGAACUUGUGUAGUUGCUGCUAGCUCCACGGCUUCUAUGUCACAGUCAUAUGAUCUCUUCAAGUCUCCACGGAGAGAGAGUACUCCCUAGGGUCCUGGCAUCUUGAGUACUAAGUACACGUAGUGCGGGAUGGCCAUGAAUUUCGCGAAUGCUAGUAUUCCGAGGACAACAUGGUACGAUGUGUCAAAGUCUGCUACCUCGAACUGGAUGUAUUCCAUCUGGUAGUGUUCUUUGGUCCCAAAGCUAACUAGCAAAACCACCUGUCCAAGGGGUACAGCCGCAUUGCCUGGGACGAUCCCAUAGAACGGAGAGUUCGUUGGGGUGAGCAAUGGAGAUGUCAAGGCUCAUUUUCUUCAGUGUCUUGGUGAAUAGUACAUUGAGACCGCUACUGCCAUCGAUGAGUACUUUAGUAAGUUUGGAGCUAGCGACAACAGGAUCCGGGACGAGGGGAUAUUGGCAAUUGGCACCUCUUGGAGAAGGUAAUUGGAACAUCGGACCAUUUGAGGAAUGUUGGUGUUGCUGGUUCAAUGGACAUAAUCUCUCGAAGGGUUAGCUUUUGGGACCGCUUAGUAGUGGUACCCGGUGUGCCGCCAAAGAUGACAUUGUCGGUGUUGGAUAGGUUCUAGAAUUUAACAUUGUCACCAUCAUUUCGUCUUCCUUAGCCUUUGUCUUUAGUGCAAGAUGGUUCCGGCAGGUCCUUCAUGACUAUGCGUAGACUGAAACAAUCUAUCACUGCGUGUUUGUGGUAUGGGUGCCAUGGGCACUAUUUCUUCAUGAGCUCAUUGAAUGAAGGCCUGUCUUGAUUCCUGCUGCAACCUUUCUUGGAUGACUGUGACAUAGCCGCAACAAGAUUGUCUAGCUUUCACUUGCGGUUGUGACCUCCCGAGUAGUUAUUUCGGUUGUCAUUGUUGGGGCGAUCGUUGCGGUUCUUGUCGUUGCGUUGGCUAUUAUUCUGAUUAUUGUUGUGCUGGCCCUUGUUGCGAUUAGACAAGAACCUCUCGAUCUCCCUGUCUUCUUCAUGUGUCCAAACCUGUACGAUGAUCUUGAGAGAUUUGACAUUAGCGUCUUCUUCAUAGCCGUCUUUUGUUGAAGUCCUAGAACAUCCGGCGGUCGUAAAGACCAUUCUGGAAGCAAUCUAUAAUGUCGUGCUCCGUGAUGUCCACAAUUGUGGCUUUCUUGUCGAAGAAGCUACAUAAGUAACUCCGCAAGAUCUCGCCUUCUUGUUGUUUAACUUGAGACAAGUCAAUCCUAUUGCCAGGAUGCUGCAUUGCCCCUACGUAGUUGUUGGUGAAUACCAACUUGAGGUCCUUCUACGUGUCGAUGGAGUUCUUAUCUAAUGAUUCGAGCCAUGUGAGUAGCGCCACAUCCAUGCAGAUGGGGAAGUAGAUGACUUUGGUGUCGUCGUUUCCUCUAGUUGCUUGCACUGACACCGAGUAGCAUCGAAGCCAUUGGACUAGGUCCUGUUUGCCAUCGUACUUGGUGAUACAUGGGGGUUUGAAUUUUUUGGGUAGAAUUGUCCUCCUCACAUGUCUGGAGAAGGCAGAGAACCUGUUAGAAUCAUCCCUUGGGUGUUCGACUUCUUAUUCACGCUCACGGUGUCAUUGCAAAGGUCUUCUAUUGGGCAUUCAAGCUUUAGGUUAGCCCCACGAUGGCCACAGCCUCCCGAGGGUCCCGCCUGACUACUCUCCACUCCAGCUUGGCUUGGUCUAGUGCCUCCAGUUUGAGUUGGUCUGGAUGGAGAGAUUAUAUAGCUGCUGCCAUGUUGACUACGCUGGGAAGGGGAGGGUUGAACUGAAUGUAUCGGGUUCUAGUGAUCGAGUUGUUGGUAUGCGUGCUCUGCCAAUUCAGCCAAUUGUCUAGUGUACUUAUCUGUGGCAUUGCGCGGGAUAUGAGAUCAGUGGAUGCGAUGGUGGCGAGGGGAGUACCAUUGUGACGCGAUUGAACUGCUUCAAACGCGUUAUCCAGGUUCAUGAUUGGUAGGUUUGCUGCAAGGCGGUGGCGGUGCUCUACUCUUGCGGGCAUUUCUUGCUCACCCUCGAGUUCUUUGAGCUUCACUCUCCUCUCCGGCAAUGUUGGUGGUGAGCUCAUCCAAUGAGACAUCAUCCGGGUCACAUUCAUGCCGUAAAUUUCUAUCCGGUUGCUCUUGUUCCUCGCCCUCUUGUCCAGCAACAAGAGUGAAGAGUUCUUGUUCUGGACAGUAGCUCCCUGAUCUUGAAGUGAUGACCUCUGUGGUGCCAUCUUCCUCGUAGAUGGGCGACAAAGGAGCUCCCUCCUAGUACUGGAGGGUGUCAAGGUAGGCGAUAAGGCAUGAAUCAUCAUCCUUAGUGAUAGCAGGUGGCUUCAUAUGGAGCUAGUAGACGAAUCUACCUUGGGAAGUUGAUGUGAUCACUAGGCCCUGCUGCGGACCUGAUAAAGGGGUCUCCUUGUUCGAGUCCGAGUAGUAGUCAAAGUCCUCGAUCGUAUCUAUAUCGGAUUGUGAUCUGGACAGGGUACCCUAAUAAAUAAUGACCGCGUUGCGGAGGCCAAACGGGAAUCGACUCGGGUGGUAGUCCGACUUGCAUGAUGGCUUAUGCGCCGGGUCGUGAAGGUCAAUCCGAGUGGCGGGAGAAGUCGAGUUGUACUCGGACUUAUCCCCCAGCCUCUGGCUAAGUUAGAAAAUGAAAAUUCAUAGAAAUUCUCGACGAGAUCCUCCAGAGCUUGACACUGGAGCUUCAUGGUUUUCUAGUUCUUCCUCAAGAUUGCCGCAAUGCGGCGGUGGAAGUUUCCAGCACCAUUUGUGAAGCAAACCCAGGAGCCAAAGAUGAACAUCGCGCCCACUUCGAACGCGAUGAUUUGCUUGAUGAUGAUUUGCACCAUCAAGCUCGCCAGUGGAUUCUCGGCAAGAGCCCCUACCUGGCGCGCUAGUUGUUAGUGUUUAGACCCAGCAACCUACCGAGGGGGGUGCCCGAGAUAGUGUUUUAGUUAGUGGGGCUCGCCGAGAUCACGAGCUCAAAGGUGAACAUAGACAUACAAUUUAGACAGGUUUAGGCUGCUAGAUUGCGUAAUAUCCUACGUCCUCCGUGUUGGUUGGAUUGAAUUGCUUUGGAGGGGGUCCCUGCCUCACCUUAUAUUGCCGGGAGUAGGGUAAUAGGUCAGUUGAUUUACAAGAAUAUUAGUCGAAUUCGACUAGGCGAGUCCUACUUCGAUUGCUAUGAGUACUUUUCCUAAUCCUCGACUAGUUCUUAUCUUGCCACGUAGAUUAUGCUGUCCUGCGCCAUAGCCUCCAUGUCAGAUACAUCUCAGUGUACAGCCCUGUAUUUAGGAUUGUCCAAACCUUCUGGUGAGCCCAUAGAUGUAUGUAGGGUAGUGUCUGUUGAUGGCAGUUAGCACACCAAUUUGUGAACCACAAGCUCACGGAUUAGUUGUAGCUCUUCCAUCGGAGUACUCCCCCAAGGUCUACCAAUUCGUGGAACUUAUAGCACAAGAUCUAUUUCAACUAGCAUUGUUAGUAUAAACUAGGUGUUGAUAAGUGAUUCAAAUCCAAUCUACUAAGCAUGUACAGACAAAAAAUAGAUAGAGCAAAGGUAACCAAUCUAGAGCAACCUAGACUAUGUAUAUGUUGUAAUUCUGAGCAUGGAUAGCAAAGCAACACUGAUAUGAUCUUAGUAAAAAGCAUCUUUUUUAAUCUACACCUCUGGUACGGCUCCCGAAACACCCCAUCUUACACAAGAAAGAUCCUAUCAUGAUCACCUCUAUCAGUGCAAGCAGGUUAAGGGCACGAUCAAAUGAACAUGUCAUACUCAUCGGUUGAUCAGGCAUGCAAAUCCAGUCACCAUGACCAAUAGAAUACCCUAAGCAAUCUAUCAUCGAUUCAUAGAUUGAAAAGCAAGCAAACCCGAAAGAGUAUAAAACCAUCGAAGGAGAUAUUUGGAUCGCUAAGAACAUGAACACAUCUAUUGCUUCACCAUGAAUGAUUGUACAUCACAAGAUCACCACAAGGAUCCUACCUUGAUCUUGAUGACUCCUAUCUCUAGAACUCCGACGUGGAUCUUCCUCGCAAGGUGAUCACGAUGGCUAGGGGUUAGCUAUGCUAAUCCCUAGACAAUUGCACGGCCCUCGUCUUUUCGAAGUGGUGUCCCUUAAGCUCCUUCUGCUUCUCUGCUGCUUCAUAUCAAGGAUGUCAUCUUGGAUAUGGGGCUUGGUGGAUUUUUGGGGUAUUUAUAGUCUGGAGAGCAUGUGGCAAAAAUUUGAAGGUGAGGGGGCGAAGGAAACCCCCUGGGCCGAUCGGCCUGGAUGGGUCCAGGCCGAUCGGCCUGGGCCUUUCCUUUGGCCCCUCAUGUCCUGCUUCGUUCCCAAGUCAUCUCAGGUGCUUUGGAAUCUUUUUUUUACUUGCAUGUGGGCCUAGCACAAUGAUAGCUUCGGGAUGAGAUUGAUCUUUGGUAACUUUUCAAAUCUCCGCUUGAUCCUCAUUAAUCCCGAACUAAUCCUUGCUAUAUCUUCACAAACUUAGCCCUUAAGUUAUCUUGGAGGAUUGCUUGCCAAAAAUGAGCUCGAGAUGGGGCUAGGAUACCCUGAGCCGAUCGGCCUAGGCCCCUGUAGGCUGAUCGGCCUAGGCUCUUCCUAGGCCCGCAGGCCUUCAUCUUUGUAUGGUCUGUUGCUUGUUUUAGCCUUUAUCCAAAAGUGUACCUUUAGGUCCAAUUUUCUACAAAAAUAGAAUAUCCUCCAAAAUAUGUUGCACAUGUGAAAAUGAUUGGUUUAUUACAUGUGAUCAAUAGUUUUGGUAUUAAAUUCAUGUCAUUAUUGAAGAUAAAUAGGGGUCAAAGUGUGCAAUAAUGAGCGUCAAUAGUGUCCUGUUGCCAAUCUUUCAUUCAGCGAUGAAGCCAUCGUGUGGUUCUUCCAAUCCAAGUGGGAGAAAUUUUUUUCUUUUUGUGAUUGCAAGGACCCCACUACUAGAAAACUGAGCAUUCGUCCCGAGGCUCAGUACCGAUUACAUUUUUGCCCGGUACUAAUGUGAGCAUUAGUACCGAGCUUAACGGGUAGUUCCAUAGGGUAGCCCCGUGAGGCCCUUUAGUACCGAUUGGGUACUAAAGGGUGCACAUUAGCACCGGUUGAUGCCCCAACCCGGUACUAGUUUGCCACCCUCCUCCUUUAGUACCGGGUGAGGGCACCAACUGGUACUAAUUUGGUGCACAUUAGUACAGGUUGAUGCCCCAACCCGGUACUAAUGUGCCACCCCCCUUUAGUACCGGGUGGGAGCACCAACUCAUACUAAUGUGGACCCUUUAGUACCAGUUGGUGUCCCCAACCAAUACUAAUUUUUCACCUAUAAGUCCACCUCCUUCUUUCCUCCUGCCCGAGCCAUUCACCACAGCUCGAGCUUCACCCUAUCCAUGGCGCCAUAGGGGAGGUGCUACGGGAUUAAAGACCAUUUCUUGGGGAUUUCACUCCUUCAAGUGUUCUAAGGUUACAAACUUCAUCAUAAUUGAUACAUGGUUAAUAUACUAAGUUUUAUACUAUAGAACUAGAGUAAUUUGUGAUUUUUAGAAUAAGGUACAAUGGAGAAAAUUUUCAUUUAUAUGAAUAUGUUAUUUAGAGCUCAUAUUUGUGAUUUUUAGAAUAAGCUACAAAUUUUUUGGAUGCUAUAUUUCGUAUUAGUCAAAGAUAUUGAUAUGUGGUUAGAGAAAUAAUUUCAUAGUUUAGUAUUUUUUAAAUAUGAGCUAAAUAUAUUAUGGCAAAUCAUAUAGAUAAUAAGAUGAAAUAGAGGCACGUAAUUAGUCAUUUUUAGAAUAAGCUACAAUGGAGAAUUUUUUCAUUUGUAUGUUAUGUUUGAGCUACUAGUCCGGUACUCCUCUCCGAUCCGGCGUACAAAUAUGCACCACCCCAGUAACGCGCUCCAAGCCACAAGCUUUUGCAUCUCCGAGCUCUCAGCCCUCCAACACUUGCCCCACAAAGCUCUAUCCCCAGCUAUCUUUUACAACGCAUUCCUUUCACGUAUUGUAGAAAGUCACUACCGUCGUUAGACCAAAGCCAUCCUGUGAUAUGUGACGUCGACAUUUCAGUUUGUCGUAGUGUAUCAUAUUGUUUGGGUUUGAAAUUUAAUUUUUUAUAUUUCUAUCUAAACUUUCAGCAACAUUUCAGUUUAAUGGUAUUUAUUUUCAUGUUUUGUUAUCUUUCAUUUAUAAUUGUAUGGAUGAUCAGAAUAUCUUUGGUUCGGUAAUAUUUUGUAGAUGGAUCGGCAAUGGAUGUACAACGCAGACAAACAUUCCACAGAGUACAUUAAUAUCUUGCGUGUUUUCUAGAUAAGGUGAAUCCAAGAAACCGCCGUCCAGUUUCAUUUGUUGUCCAUGCAGAAAUUGAAAAAAUGAGAAGGAUUACUCAUCCAGAAAGACUAUUCAUGCUCACAUAUACAAUUCUGGAUUCAUGCCUAACUAUUUUGUUUGGACCAAGCAUGGGAAAAGAGGAGUUGUGAUGGAUGAUGAUGAUGAUGAAGACAACAUUCCUGACUGGAUUCAAGGAGGUGCCUUUGCAGAUGCUCCAAUGGGCGAGGCUGAAGAAGAGAUGGGCGAGGCAGAAGCUCCUAUCGAUGAUCUAGGUCAGGUGUUGUGAGAGGCACAGGAAAACUCCGAGAAUGUGAAGGAGUCAAAAAGGUUCGAGCAUAUGUUAGAUGAUCAUUAGAAAUUUUUGUACCCAGAUUGCAAAUAGGAGCAUAAAAAGUUGGGUACCAUACUGGAAAUGCUGCAAUGGAAGGUAAAAAAUGGAGUUUCUGACAAGGGUUUUGAUGAGUUAAUGAAAAUCAUGAAGAACAUCCUUCCCGAGGGAAAUGAAUUGCCAUCCUCAACGUACAAAGCAAAAAAGGUUGUUUGCCCUCUGGGUUGAGGUACAAAAGAUACAUGCAUGUCCUAUUGGAGGCUUGUCCUGUGUGCGAAGCGCUGUGUUAUAAGAUCAGAAGAGAUGACCCUGGUGAUGUUGAGGGGCAGACCAUCAAGAAGAAAGUUUCUGCGAAGGUAAUGUGGUAUUUCCCUAUAGUACCAUCGUUGAAGCGUUUGUUCAGAAACAAGGCACAUGCAAAGUUGAUGCGUUGGCAUAAAGAAGAACGGAAGCAAGAUGAAAUGGUCAGACACCCCGCUGAUGGGUCCCAGUGGAGAACAGUUGAUAUAGAAUUUCUUGAGUUUGAAAAUGAUGCAAGGAACAUACAGUUUGGUUUAAGUACAGAUGGAUUCAAUCCAUUCGGUGAGUUCAAUAGUGGUCAUAGCACUUGGCCUAUAACCUUAUGUAUGUUCAACCUUCCGCCCUGGAUGUGCAUGAAGUGGAAGUUCAUUAUGAUGCCGGUAAUUAUCCAAGGCCCAAAACAAUUUGGCAAUGACAUUGAUGUUUAUCUAAGACUGUUGGUUGAUGAACUUCUACUGUUAUGGAUGGAAGAAGGUGUAGUGUGUGGGAUGAGGACAAAAAUGAGACUUUUAAUCUACGAGCAUUGUUGUUCGUAACUGUUGGCGCUAAAAAUCGGCCGAUGACCCUCAGUGUCGGACACACGACUAGGGAGAAUCUGCUUAACUCCUAUUCGGGUUAUUGCCCUGGUGCGGUUCGCGUGGCGUGGCAGUCAAUCUUACCUGUUGAUUGAUAAGGAAAGAAAAGUAUUAAAUUCUAGGGGCUUCGAUCGGCUAAAGUUCCGAUCUGUCUUGAAAAGCGUAUCAGCAAAUCGACCGAUUUACUGUAGAGAUGACCGGCUAUAGGACAACCGAUGAUCAUGUAGAGAUUGUAAAGAAACUACUAGAGCAAUUUAAACAACGCUACAGAUGCAACACUUGAAAUAGAUCUAAUAAGCUAUAUGACAAUAAAUAAGAAUAACAGUAAUGAAGCUGACAGUUCGAAUCUCAAGCUGGAUAACUGGUGAUCUAACUAGAGAAAUAGAUAAAACAUAUAAUUCUAGUUAAUAUCGACUCCCAAUCGGCUAGCCUCUAUCAAUUCCCUCUGCCAGUCGGCCGAAACACUGUAGCCUUAAUCGGCCGAUUCCCAACUGUAGCUUCUAGCCACCGCACUGACCGCCUUUCUUCUCCUUUGACGCCGAUUCCAAACACGUGUCAAAAUCCAGCGUCAACACAUGCCCCCCAGUUUUUGAGUGAAACACAACUUUUGCUCUGAAACUUUUCAACUUUAACUCCUUCCUCGAAGAAAACGCAACAGUAAGCGUGGCGAAAGCUCCUUUUUGCUCCGCAGUCCCCCUCUGAUGAUUGUGAUUUUUUUGAAUGAAACGCGUGUAGGCAACCGCCAUCCCUGAAAUUUUUGUAGACAGCGCGGUAAAAAUCCCGCCUUUACCCUUCUCUCGACUGUCCUCAAAUACUCGCAUCCUCCGCCGCUUCUUCUCCACAAACUUAGAAGCCUUCCUUCUUCGGAGAAUCACCUCCCAUUGCAUUCCGGUGCCCUUUCAACUUCCAGCUGCAUCCCUCCGGUGAUUCUCCUUUCAUCUUCUGAUCAUCUCACUCUUGUUCAUCCCAAUGGCGAUCCCAUCAGCGACCAUGGCCUUCAUCCCAGAGGUAAAAUACCCCGAAAUUUUUUCCCUUUUCACCUUUUUACCAUUUCACGCAUCUUUCUUUUUAGAUAUGUUCUUAGCUUGCCCUUUAUAUCCUUCUUAGGAGCUAAGGCAGACGAUUACCAUCCCUAUCUCUGACGCACCUGGCCUUAUCGGUCUUGGCCCUAUGGGGAAUCCAGAUCCCACUGAAUUAAUCAACUUGGAAACCCACAGGAUCCCCUUCAAGCAAUCGCCCAUGGAUCUAAGUCACUUGGCAGGCGCAUUUAGGUCUUGGUCGAACGAAACCGUUAGCUGGAGAGAAUGGUUUCAAAGGAUAUCCAAUUCUAAGAGGGUUCUCUGGGAAGAACCAAAAAUUGGCCAAUGAAUAAAUUUAUCUCUGUCUCAAAUGGAGAAGAAUGAACCCUUGGUCAUUGCAGCUUCUUACUUUUGGUCUGGCACCCUCAAUGCGUUCCUCUUUGGACAUGGGCCCAUGACUCCUACUUUGGCUGACGUCUUGAUGCUGAUCGGUCUCGACAUCUCUUCCCCCAACUCUACCUUUGAUUUCCUGAUCAAACCAACUCAUCGUCUGGAAACAAAGAGAAUCGGCGGGUGGAAAGGCUAUAUUGAGAAAAAUAUGAAGACCGGGCCUAUCGGCGACAGAGAGUACACAGCUUUUUUGAUGAUGUGGCUAGAGAAACACUUCUUCUGCGGCAGAGCAACCAACCCUUCCUCCAAUACACAGGCUCUGGCCGAGGCCCUAGUGAGAGGUUCUACUAUCCCUUUGGGAAAACACCUUCCAGGAUCGGCUUAUCAUAUGAUGCACCAAAUCACUAUCAAGCUGUCAUCCGGAGAGCCGAUUGGGAACCCUGGUGGUCCCUGGUGGUUCAUCACCUUCUGGCUUAACUUAUACAUGAGCAAGAUCUCCAGGGAAUGAGUCGAGACCAAGACGUUCCCCAAUAUUGAGUCAGAGGAUAACCCAACAUCAAGAUGACGUUGCACUUCCUUUGGUGAGGUAGCGUCAGCUUUUCCUGGCAGUAAGUUUACCCCCACAAAGACAGCUGAGUAUUUCAGAUGUUUCUACAUCGGCUUCAAUGAAGAAACUACAAGCUGGUACCCAUACCAGAGAAAUGAGCCACUCUUUAAAAACCUCGACUGCUUUGAUUCAAGCACCAAUUCCUUCGAGAACGAGUUUAUGAAUGUUUUGAUCAAGCCAGGGAUUCUACCAGCAAACUUCCUCUCAGAAAAAGACUCCCCAACCUAUGAAUUCUACAAUCCAUCAGUGGCAGCAUGGCAAUUCAGCCUAGGACAGAUGCCGAUUAAAAUUUAUUUGGCUAGCCGUGUGAAGUUCCAAGAGGGGCUCUCCAAAGGACUUGAAUACAAUCGGCUGUGCAUUUUGACGCCAGAUUCCAGCACCGUCGAUUUGACUGACUGGGUGGUAGCCCCCUUCUCUGUCCAACAAUUCAAGCUAUGGUGGGGUGAGUGGAAAUAACACCUCUUCUGCGCAUCUCCCGCAACGUAUUCUAACGAUCUGGACCCCGCCAAUAUUGAUCCAAAUGCAGAGGUACCAAUCUUUCUGGCCGAUUUGACACUGUACUCUUUGUGCUAUAGGAUUAUGACUGAUUUCCCUCUUCUCUUGUAGUCUGAAAGCCAGCCCCCUCCAACGCGCAGCCGUAGUGGAAGGCCGAUAGAGAAUCGCCACCCGUACACUUUAUUUCCAAUCAUCGGCUUUCACGCCCCGUCGAUUGAAGAUAUCGUCACUAGCCAAUUAAAGCAGAAACUGAAGAUAUCUUCUACAAAGAAGACAAGCCGCCGGGUGUGCGCCCGCAUAGAAUCGGCUGAUCAAUUGGCGGCACUACCAGGCGAGUCUUUAGCCGCACCGACUAUGCCAAUCAUCCAGGAGGUUGACCCCCAAGCCGCUACGGAAGCCGGAUCGGCAGCUGCAUCCUUAUUGGUAGAAGCUGUUCAGGUAACUCUAUAUGCCUCACAUUUCUCCAAGUAUACUAUCAGUAUUAAAUUCCAUUUCUUACUAGGCCGCGCAAAUCCUCCUGGAGCAAUCCAUGCAUGAAUCGGCCAACCCUCAGGCAGAGACCGAGACACCAACAAUCUUUUCAACUGAGGUAAAGAAUAUUCACUUUAUACAAGUUUCCCAAUCCUCAGUCGAAACUGACCGAUCUCUGGUGUAGACCACCCUGGGUACAUCAAUCAUACCUUUCCAGCAGCCAUCAAUUGUGCGGUUUGCAGAGGUAAAAUAACUGAUACCCAUACUUAGAUUCAAUUACCCCUUCAUACAUAUAGAGAUUUCCUUUUUCAUCCUUUAGGAGGCUAGUCCGAGCACUGCACCAAUCAUUGUGGAAUCUUCUUCUUCUAAUGAACCAACCAUGUCGAUUCCUGAGACAACUAUAGCACUUCCACCAACGCAAACAGAAGAAAUCCGCUUUAAGGAGGUAAAAACCUUCAACACCUUAUCGGCCGAUUCUCUACUUCCGCUGGCUAAAGCACUCCCCCUCUUUCGCCUUUACAGGAACAAGACACUCCCAACAACAGCCUCUUUUCAUUCGCAAUUGCUAUCUCCGAUGAUGAAGAGGUCGCCUCCCGUCAGGUGGCUCUGGGCUCACUUCCCGAAGAAAUACGUGCCAAGCUCCAAAAUAUCCGAACCCUCCUUCAAGAUGACAUCGGCCGAUUGGUAGAAGAUGCUUCGCCGAUUCGGGCAAAUCUUCAAUGAAAUAAAAGGCCGAGUCCUAGAAGACGCAGAAGAAGCUCUUGCACCCGCGACAUAUAUUGAAUCGAUGCAGAUCCCGAUGUUCAGAGCUCUGCGGCACAUGGCCGAUUGUGCCAAGCUGGCAAAGGCACGUGAAGAGAAAGAAUCCUACAAGCACCGAGCCCAAGAGGUACACCACCGAAUCGGCGCACAUGAGAAUUCUCGUCCAAACAUCGUCGGCACCAUAGAGCGUCUCAAACGGCGUAGGGCAGAACUCGCCAAGGAGAUGGAGUAGGUCAUGAAGGCCAUUGCCGUUGAAGAGAAGAAGCUCCAAGAUCUUUCGGCCGUCAUCGCCGAUUUGAAGCAGGAGAGGCAAACUCUUGUUCAAGAGGCCAUCCGAUUACAUUGCAACAUCUUGGAAGUCCCUGGAUCGACCGACGAUGACCAACGAGUAUUAGACUCGGCAGACCAGAUCCGCCAGCGGGCAAUUGCGGCCAUUAAUACUCUCCUUGGGUGAAUGUACCAGACAUUGAAUUAUCCUUUGAACGCCUCUGUAUAAACAUUUAAUUCCCUUUUGCCGUUGCCGUGUAAAUACGAAUUUGAACAUUUCUCCUUCGCAGCUUUUUAGCCCAACGGUCAUUUGUUUUGAAUGGAUGCCUUUACUAACCUUUGUCCCACAUCUUUCCUUCCUAGAAAUAUGAGGUCUCCAUGUCUCUUCUAGAGGCACUCGCAUUUCAUCCAUCCUUCUACCCUUUGCUUAAUCGCUCUCAGAUUCCCAAUCAAGCACCAAGAUGUCUUCCUCUUCCUCCAUCAGUUAGGUAUGAAAUCACCCUUGCGCUCCUCAACAGAUUCUUGCCGACGACUGACUAUCAACUGUUGUUUCAGCCAACCCAGCUCAGCCCUGGCCUCGAGCGGGCUAUCGAGAUCAUGCACUUUGAGGAACUGCUGACGCAGGCGGAUAAAGAUUUGAUCGAAGCCCACCGAGAAGAACUUAAAGACCGUCUUCCUGCCCACAUCAAGAAGAUUGUGGAUUACAUCAAAGCCAACAUCUCUAGGAAGCCACCUCAACCGCCAAUUGAAAGGAGUCACGAGUUACCCCGUCAUAUUGUUCUUGAAGACGCCAUGGCAGAUAUGGAGGAAAAGAGCACCCGUCUCUUAAUAGAAUUAGGCCGGAUCCAAAGAGAGAUCAAUACAAGCAAAGCCCAGUUGAAACGUAGUUAAUCAUGUUGAAACUCAAUGGAUGUAUUGGUACUUUCGGUCUAAGGGCGACUUGUACUAUGUCGGCCAAGUGUCCAAUCAUCGUACCGAAUAAAAAUCGGCCUAUUUGAUCAGAGGUUUCAUCCUCAAGGUGAUGCCCCCCUG
This 43168-nucleotide long non-coding RNA is filed under the name Setaria viridis. RNAcentral's name for it is "long non-coding RNA (SVIR_LNC004798)". Lineage: Eukaryota; Viridiplantae; Streptophyta; Magnoliopsida; Poales; Poaceae. The record is from RNAcentral.